GGCGUCUUCAAACUUAAGUAGCAUUAGAAGCAAUUACAUUUGUGCAAAUGUAGAAAGGUUUGUUGCUAUUUCUGACUCCUUCAUACCCCAAGGCAGGAAACUGGGAGGCAGGGCUGUUAACCCUUUCAGGGCAGAGUUCAAGGUAGCCAAGGCUCCCCCCCUUGCUUUGUUGUUUGCAUCCCCGAUGGUGUAACACCAGGCACCUCUCUUUUCAAAGCGAAACCCACGCCUGUUUACUCAGGAAGAAAUUAGUGUUUUCAUUGCAAGGUAUGUUUGGGUGAGAACAGGAUUGCCUGGCAGUCCAUUAGAAAAAAAAAGCCACACUAAGAAACCAUAACCUCAAACGUCUUUGCAUGUAGUGACAGCUUUUCUUUCUAGGUGUAAGUAACAUCUCUUGCGGAGUGCAAAGAUGUAAAGCGUGCAAAGAUAGAGGCUAAGUCUGAAGGAGAAACAAAUUCUGCCCAGCUGACUCCUUAGGAGUCCUUUCCUUCCAUCUGUUGUUACCUUCCAAACCACCCCGAAGUUUAGGAGCUUCAAAGGACAAUGUAUCCAUUCUGAUCCUUCUGCAAUCAGAGCUGGGCUCUGCUCUGCCAUUUUUCUGCCCCACCCGGCCUCCGCUGGGGCUAGAAUGUUCCAGAUGGAUGUGGCACCUAACAGCUGGUGGUGGUCCUGCUGGCAGGGCCGGAGGAGCCGAGGUGUCCUCCUCGGGCAUCGUGCUCCGUCCCCACGUGGGUUCCUUGGGCUUUCUCCCAGCGUGUUCCGACUCACGGAAUAUUCUACAGCAGUGAAAAUGGAGAGCCACAGCUAUACGCAAGAGCUUGGACUGCCUUGACUAAUCCAGCAACCCCGGCAUCUGGCAGCCUCCAGGCUUCUCGCCCUUUCCCAACGAGACUUCUGGCAUUGCCUUGACCAAAGGGGAUGUUGCAGACUCUGCAACGAGAUGAUAUCAGGAAGCCAAAUGCAAAACAGGCAUUCCCACAUCCCCGUUAGCCAACGUGAGUGGAAAUCACAGAGCAUUUCUUUUUUCACAUUUGUUCAUUGCAUCGUUACCAACGAGUCCUCUGUAAAAAACGUGUAAAUGAGGAAAGGGUCAGAUGGAAUAUCGAUGCAAUUGCUCUUAUCGGUGUAAGAAGAAGAGAAGUCACCCAAACGUGUUAGCAAGCGAGAGCUUGAACUUGAUCUAAUAAUCUUAAAAUAAAAACCAACUGUUCUUUGCUUUUGACGGCGGUCUGCAGGCCUGUGUCGAGAGUUGUCCGUUACUAAGGACCAGGGUCAGCAGAGGGUGGCCCAGGGGCCCAAUCCAGCCCCCCCCACCUUAUUGUAAUGUUCUGUUGGAACAGAGCGCACCCAUCUAUAAAUGUUGUCUGAGCCCGUUUCUGUGCAACAAUGAUUGUGGUACAGACCAGACGGCCUCCAAAACCUAAGGCGUUUACUGUCUGCGCCCUCAUGGAAAACCUGUCUGGCUCCUGGGUUAGAAUACUAGAUUUUCAGAGCUAAUGGUAAUCCGAGCAUUCAUUGCAUCUAGAAGUCUUUAACUAGGUGUAUUUUUCCCCAGUCUGUCUGUCGGUCCGUCUGUCUCUCUUUCCCCCCUCUUCAUCACCGAGGCUGAGUCUCAGCUGUUGUGAAUCAUUGCACUGCCCUCUCAAAGUCCAGAGAAAUCCAUCUGUGGCGAUAUCCUUAUACAAAGAGGGAAAA
Felis catus (domestic cat) is the source of this 1695-nucleotide long non-coding RNA. RefSeq lists it as uncharacterized. NCBI's taxonomy places the organism in Eukaryota, Metazoa, Chordata, Mammalia, Carnivora, Felidae. The record is from RefSeq and is a predicted model, not a curated record. The transcript has 3 exons.